GGAGGGUGCAAGCGUUAAUCGGAAUUACUGGGCGUAAAGCGCACGCAGGCGGUUUGUUAAGUCAGAUGUGAAAUCCCCGGGCUCAACCUGGGAACUGCAUCUGAUACUGGCAAGCUUGAGUCUCGUAGAGGGGGGUAGAAUUCCAGGUGUAGCGGUGAAAUGCGUAGAGAUCUGGAGGAAUACCGGUGGCGAAGGCGGCCCCCUGGACGAAGACUGACGCUCAGGUGCGAAAGCGUGGGGAGCAAAC
RNAcentral lists this ribosomal RNA (247 nucleotides) under uncultured Enterobacteriaceae bacterium. Its description in RNAcentral is "partial 16S ribosomal RNA". It matches the Rfam family "Bacterial small subunit ribosomal RNA", at positions 527 to 773 of the family's 1533-position model. Lineage: Bacteria; Pseudomonadati; Pseudomonadota; Gammaproteobacteria; Enterobacterales; Enterobacteriaceae. The record is from RNAcentral.